CGGGGCGUAGCGCAGCCUGGUAGCGCGCCUGCUUUGGGAGCAGGAUGUCACAAGUUCAAAUCUUGUCGCCCCGACCA
RNAcentral lists this transfer RNA (77 nucleotides) under Syntrophaceae bacterium. RNAcentral's name for it is "tRNA-Pro". It matches the Rfam family "tRNA". From Rfam's summary of the family: Transfer RNA (tRNA) molecules are approximately 80 nucleotides in length. Their secondary structure includes four short double-helical elements and three loops (D, anti-codon, and T loops). The record is from RNAcentral. Lineage: Bacteria; Pseudomonadati; Thermodesulfobacteriota; Syntrophia; Syntrophales; Syntrophaceae. RNAcentral also lists the same sequence under 1 other name.